RNAcentral lists this small nuclear RNA (106 nucleotides) under Nannospalax galili (Upper Galilee mountains blind mole rat). Lineage: Eukaryota; Metazoa; Chordata; Mammalia; Rodentia; Spalacidae. The record is from RNAcentral.
AUGUCCGCUUCAACAACACAUAUGCUAAAGUCAGAACGAUACAGAAAAAUUAGCAUGACUCCUGUGAGAGGAUUCUGUGCAAAUUGCUGACACAUUCUGUAUUUUA